This 422-nucleotide ribosomal RNA is filed under the name uncultured bacterium. Its description in RNAcentral is "bacterial SSU rRNA". It matches the Rfam family "Bacterial small subunit ribosomal RNA", at positions 355 to 774 of the family's 1533-position model. The record is from RNAcentral.
UAAGGAAUAUUGGACAAUGGAGGCAACUCUGAUCCAGCCAUGCCGCGUGAAGGAAUAAGGCCCUAUGGGUUGUAAACUUCUUUUAGACGGGACAAAACCCCUUUACGUGUAAAGGGUUGAUGGUACUGUCAGAAUAAGCAUCGGCUAACUUCGUGCCAGCAGCCGCGGUAAUACGAAGGAUGGAAGCGUUAUCCGGAAUUAUUGGGUUUAAAGGGUGCGUAGGCGGACUAAUAAGUCAGUGGUGAAAGCCUGCAGCUUAACUGCAGAAUUGCCAUUGAUACUGUUAGUCUUGAGUACAGUUGAGGUAGGCGGAAUGUGUCAUGUAGCGGUGAAAUGCUUAGAUAUGACACAGAACACCGAUUGCGAAGGCAGCUUGCUAAGCUGUAACUGACGCUGAGGCACGAAAGCGUGGGGAGCAAACA